This 243-nucleotide long non-coding RNA is filed under the name Mytilus galloprovincialis (Mediterranean mussel). Lineage: Eukaryota; Metazoa; Mollusca; Bivalvia; Mytilida; Mytilidae. The record is from RNAcentral.
GUCGACAUUUUCUUUAUUCUGGUAUCUAUGAUGAGUUUGUAUAAUGCUAUACUUUAUUCUGGUAUCUAUGAUGAGUUUGUAUAAUGCUAUACUUUAUUCUGGUAUCUAUGAUGAGUUUGCAUAAUACGAUAUUUUAUAAAAAUAUCAUGACGAGGUUCUUCUUAUGUAAGGUUGUUCAAGCACUCCAUGGUUAAAGUAAACCAAAGAUCAGCAUUCCAAUGUUAAAGUAAACCAACGAUCUGC